CAGCAGCCACGUAAUACAGAGGGUGCGAGCGUUAAUCGGAUUUACUGGGCGUAAAGCGUGCGUAGGCGGCUUCUUAAGUCGGAUGUGAAAUCCCUGAGCUUAACUUAGGAAUUGCAUUCGAUACUGGGAAGCUAGAGUAUGGGAGAGGAUGGUAGAAUUCCAGGUGUAGCGGUGAAAUGCGUAGAGAUCUGGAGGAAUACCGAUGGCGAAGGCAGCCAUCUGGCCUAAUACUGACGCUGAGGUACGAAAGCAUGGGGAGCAAACAGGAUUAGAGACCCCCGUAGUCCCUGUCUCUUAUACA
This 301-nucleotide ribosomal RNA is filed under the name uncultured bacterium. RNAcentral's name for it is "partial 16S ribosomal RNA". It matches the Rfam family "Bacterial small subunit ribosomal RNA", at positions 509 to 808 of the family's 1533-position model. The record is from RNAcentral.